Molecule: ribosomal RNA, 1121 nt
Filed under: Dyella koreensis
Lineage: Bacteria; Pseudomonadati; Pseudomonadota; Gammaproteobacteria; Lysobacterales; Rhodanobacteraceae
Description: bacterial SSU rRNA
Rfam family: Bacterial small subunit ribosomal RNA
Source: RNAcentral
GGGMUGGCWGMUGCCUACACAUGCAGUCGAACGGCAGCACAGCAGUAGCAAUACUGUGGGUGGCGAGUGGCGGACGGGUGAGUAAUGCAUCGGGACCUGCCCAGACGUGGGGGAUAACNUAGGGAAACUUACGCUAAUACCGCAUACGUCCUACGGGAGAAAGCGGGGGAUCGAAAGACCUCGCGCGGUUGGAUGGACCGAUGUUCGAUUAGCUAGUUGGUGAGGUAAUGGCUCACCAAGGCGACGAUCGAUAGCUGGUCUGAGAGGAUGAUCAGCCACACUGGGACUGAGACACGGCCCAGACUCCUACGGGAGGCAGCAGUGGGGAAUAUUGGACAAUGGGCGCAAGCCUGAUCCAGCAAUGCCGCGUGUGUGAAGAAGGCCUUCGGGUUGUAAAGCACUUUUAUCAGGAGCGAAAUACCACGGGUUAAUACCCUAUGGGGCUGACGGUACCUGAGGAAUAAGCACCGGCUAACUUCGUGCCAGCAGCCGCGGUAAUACGAAGGGUGCAAGCGUUAAUCGGAAUUACUGGGCGUAAAGCGUGCGUAGGCGGUUUGUUAAGUCUGUUGUGAAAUCCCCGGGCUCAACCUGGGAAUGGCAAUGGAUACUGGCAAGCUAGAGUGUGAUAGAGGAUGGUGGAAUUCCCGGUGUAGCGGUGAAAUGCGUAGAGAUCGGGAGGAACAUCAGUGGCGAAGGCGGCCAUCUGGAUCAACACUGACGCUGAGGCACGAAAGCGUGGGGAGCAAACAGGAUUAGAUACCCUGGUAGUCCACGCCCUAAACGAUGCGAACUGGAUGUUGGUCUCAACUCGGAGAUCAGUGUCGAAGCUAACGCGUUAAGUUCGCCGCCUGGGGAGUACGGUCGCAAGACUGAGACUCAAAGGAAUUGACGGGGGCCCGCACAAGCGGUGGAGUAUGUGGUUUAAUUCGAUGCAACGCGAAGAACCUUACCUGGCCUUGACAUGUCUGGAAUCCUGCAGAAAUGCGAGAGUGCCUUCGGGAAUCAGAACACAGGUGCUGCAUGGCUGUCUUCAGCUCGUGUCGUGAGAUGUUGGGUUAAGUCCCGCAACGAGCGCAACCCUUGUCCUUAGUUGCCAGCACGUAAUGGUGGGAACUCUAAGG